RNAcentral lists this long non-coding RNA (4190 nucleotides) under Homo sapiens (human). RNAcentral describes it as "HSALNT0096496". Lineage: Eukaryota; Metazoa; Chordata; Mammalia; Primates; Hominidae. The record is from RNAcentral.
GGGUCUCUUACUCAUUCAGAUUAUUUAUUAAGAGCAAAAGUCGGGCCAUCCCAUCGUGUGAUAUUGCAACAUGAAAAGUCACAUACAUACUAAGGAGACCCCACAGAAUUGAGAGCCUUUCAACAGUACAGAGCCAUAGAUUACGAAGUUAAAAUACAAAUGAUCCCCCAGAUUUGGCAGGAAACAAUCUAUAAUACAAUGAAAGGAAUAAAAAGGCACCCCUAGAGCACCAUGCUUCCCAAGGCAUGAUCUUGAGCUCAUCUGCCCUUCGGUUCGACUGCCCAGCUCAGUAACAGGGACCAGGAGCCAGGGCCAGCUGAAUUACACAACCUCAAAGGAUCGCCUGGAAGGCAGAUAUCUGACCAAGAGAUCACAGACCAAGCACAUUUCAUGAGAAUUUAAAUGCUAGGACAAUACUACCUCUCCCAAUAGGGCUUUUGAACCCUGGUUUUAAAUAACAGGCUAGAUCUGUUUUCCCUUACCACUCAUUUUGCAAAACUCAACUGGCCUAAACAUUUCGCUCAAUCUUGAGUUCUGCAGGUUGGUCCCUGAGAGCUAGGUUGGCCUUGGGAAUUUCUGCUCAAUUUUAAGUUCUCAAGAAUCUGAGGGCAGCCGAUUUAGACUGAAUUAGAGUCAUCCUAUAGGUCAGAAAGAAAGAAUGCUAGACAGGUCAAGAGGGCCAGAGGUUGGUUCUGAUAAUGCCAUAUGACCUCAGGCACAUCUUUUUGAGUUUUAGUUUCCCCAUCUCUAAAAACGGAUGAUUGGACAACAGCAAGCUUAACAGACUUUCCACCUUGAAAAUACGGCACUUCUCUGACGCUUAGACCUUAAGUCCUGAAGCGUUGUUUUCUCAGCAAAAACAGUGCAAAGUCCUUACAGGAAUCUAAGGUACAAGCCCUGGGCAACCAUGAAAACUUUAAACUUCAUGCAAAGCAACGAAGUUAUAAAUCCUCCAGCUGAACAAUUUCCUGAUGAUGUGAGCAUCCGUUUUUGUGGGGCAAGCACAGAACUGAGUCCUCAUCUGUCUGAGGUUUAGCAGGCUGCUAACAUCUUCUCAUCCCCCUCUCCUCUCCCCAAGCUUUGGCAGAAACAAGCCAGCCAGUAGGGUUUUCUCAACAUUCUCCAACAAGGAACUGAGUGGACUAAUACUCAGGGGUAAGGACAGUGUACCAAAGUGUCCAUGUCCUAGCAUUGUUUCUUUCCAAAAGGCAAACGCUAUGCUUUGGGACAGUGCCAGCAAUUAGGUGCUUUGCCAAAAAUAACUUGUCCCAUGUGGCCCCCAUGGGGCAGAGACUAAGAUGGAAAUUACAGAGAACAUAGAAAAGCCAGAGGUUUACAAAGAACAGGCUUCUCCACGAGGUAGUGGGUUCUCUGUCCUCGGAGGUGUUUAAGUCCAGACUGCUCAACCCCUUGGUGGGAUGGUUGUAGGCAGAAUGUCAGCACCUAUGUGGAGACUAGACUGGAUGACUUAACAGCCCUUUCCCAACUUUGAGAUCCUGUCAUUGUAAUGACUGAGAGCGCCUUUGGAUGACUUCCAUGAAGCAACUGCUCUGGGCAACAGCCUCCCUCAAUAGGCAAGGCCCCCAGAGUAAGCUCCUUCUUCCAUCCUCUCCCUCCCAACAGGCAGUUGCCCUGCAGGAUAUUAACAAAAAGCUUCCCACAAAAUAAAAAGCCUAAACACCAAAAUUAGAUGCAACACUGCAGCUGCAAACAAUUGUUACUAUCUGUUCUCUGAAAGGCUAGCAGUGACUAUUUAGCUAUGACAGGAACAUCUAAAAACUUGGCAGCUGUAACAUGUAAGUAAAAUUCCUCUUCAUUUUACAACACCGGUCUUGAAUCCUUUGGUUUUUAAUCUUUCAUGAGAUUCAGCUGUGAUCUUUUUUUUUAUAUGCUGUUGCCAACCUAAGAGUUUGUUCCUUGAAGCAAGAAGUUUGUCCAUUGGUUUUUAAAACAUCUUAAAACAACAUGAAUGGCAGGAUACUGAUGUUUCCAUGUGAGAACCUUCAGGGCAUAUCAAAGAACCAUACCAGGCUGGAACUGAGCCACCAGAAACUGCAGAAGAGGCUAAGGCGAGUGGUUUAGUGGUUUGAUGAAAGAACAGAUUUCUGGACAUAAGAAAAACAUAGGUUCAAAUAGCUUUGUCUUUUCUCUCACCUGACCUGUUGAAAGGUCAGAUUGAAAAGGUUGAAAAGAUGCCCACAACCUCCACUUUCCACAAGCACCUCUCCUUAGAGGAAAGACAAGGGACCCAAGUACACACACAGCAUCUGGCUGAAGGUAAAACAUUUCCCCAGGUUUCGCUUUGGAAUAAAGAUUCUUUCAGACACAAUUGAACAGAUGGAUCCUACCAUCAUAUAUUCUUGUGCAGAAGCUAUUGUCUCUCUCAACUGGGAAAACAGAUUUGCUGCUAAAGAAAUAGUGAUGUGACCUACACGCCCACAAUUCUGGUUUACGUAUCAGAAAAAUACACUUUUUUACUCAUUAAGAUAUGGACAUUUCCAUGGAGCAAGUUAACAAUGCCUUAACCUGCAGGCCCCAUCUGCCCCUCAGCCUUCUUGAUGCCUGUAUCAACAUCCUUCAGCUGUAAGCAGGGAGAGAAUCUCUAAACACAUAGUGAAUGUGAAUGACUGAAAACACUCACAGAGCACUGGACAUGCCAUCCACAGCCAGGAGGCAUACCAAAAUAGGAUGCCCUCACAGUCCAGAGUAUAUUCUAUAUACAACCAUUUAUAUAUAUUUAAUUUAAAAGGCUGCAAUCUGCUAGACAUGCAUUUUGAACACAGGCGAAAGCUUUGCUGCAAUGGAACAUACUGCAUUUUAGUGAGCGUGGUGACCCUGUCCCCAUUCCACAGAAAGCGUGGUACUCUGCUCCACAGAACUGAGACCUUUGGACACUCCGCCGCCCUGCUCAGUAGGGGGUUUAGUCCUGACUUCUCUGUGAUGGUGCUCAGAUUAAGUCAUCUGUGAAACUCUCUGCCAGGCCAGGCUGUCCAUUGUUCUUAUUAUUUAAGGCUUAAGAAAUUAACUCAGAAUUGAAACUGAGUAGGAAAAUGACACCUUUGACCAUAUGUCAAGAUGGUCAUAAAUUAGAAUCCAAAUUCUUUUCUUUUCUUUCUCCCACCCUCCUACCCCAUACCCUCUGCCCUCCAUUACACAGAUUAAAGAAUUUUGCAAAAGCACAUUUUUGGAUAUAAAGCUUUGUUUUCACAGGAUACUUUGGCUCUGAUAUAAUUAGAUUGAGGAGUUCAACGUUUUGAACAACAAAAAAAUUAGGUAAUUUUCAAAAAUUAUUUUAGCAAUCUUUCUCCCUAAGAGGGAGGCAAAUUGUUCACAAAAAUGAGCAUCAGAUGGAAUUGACCUUUGUUGCCCAAACUCAUGAUUUGCUGAUGACCAGAGCCCAGGGAGUCAAGGCCAGCCAGACUUUCAAUCCUAAGCUGAACUUCUGGGCAGGAAUCACAUGGCCCCUGGCAGCUUGCAUGGUGGUUGUGAACUUAGGAUGAAAACUUCUAAAAAUACUUGCCCCAACCUACUAAAUAUGUCAGUGUGUCAAUGCAUUUAUUACCAAGAAGCUUGGCUGAAGUCAUAAUAUCUAACUGCACCCCAAAGAGUGAAGCAUAGUGGGGUGCAUAAGGGACCGUAUCUUCUGUGAGGGUCUCUAUAUCAGUGUUUCUGGAACCUCAACGAAUAGUUUUGCACAUGCAACUGUCCUGAAAUCCUUAUCUGAUCAGAAACUUCCUUGUUGGUGCAUCAGGAUUUCCUCCACAUUCUAGCAGUUAAGUGGUGAGCAACAGAAAUGGCAGAGGUCUCAGUCAUGAGAGGUGUGAAGCGGAUGUUACAAGGCUGGCACUAUUAGUGACAGCUCAAUUAGCCAAUACCUACUGAUUGAGUGCCUACUGUGUACAAGGCACAGGGUGAGUGAGGGGGACCAGUGUCAAACUGAUCUGCUGAUAAAUGACAAAGCUUGCAACAAAGCGGGCGGGAUAUCUAUGUCGCCAGCGGGCAGCAUGCAAGUCCAGAUGUGGGUCUGCUCAUGCACUUCCAUGGCCAAUUGCACCUUGCUGCUAUUCCAAGCUACAGCUCACACGUGGCAGCCUGGUGGAUAAGGUGAUUACCAAAAUAUUUCUUAUCCCACAUUUCCAGUAGAAUUGAUUUAAUGCUUUGUUGAAUGCUGAAAUACAUAGUUUUUAAUU